GGGAGAACUAAAAAAAAUACUGUCGAAAUUUUUUUUCGACUUCUAUUGCGUAUCAUUUGAUUACUGUAAUUAACUUAUAAAAUUAAUAUAUUUUUUGAAUGAGAUAGGAUCUUCUAUACUGAUUAGUUGAUGAUAGGAUAUAUUUACUAUAUAAGCCAUUUUGAAUGAUAAAAUAAUUAAUUAGCUAUUGCCUUAUACUUAUGUAUAUGCAGAAUUUUUAGAUAGUGUGCCAUGGAUCAUAGUUGGAUGGAUCGUCGAGUAGUCGACGGGAUGAUUUCUGCUGAAUAUAGGGAGGGUAUAGAGUACUUCUAUGAUUUUACUUUUGAAAAUGUAGCAUUCUUACAUCAAGGAUGGGCUCAUUGUCCUUAUAACAGAUGUAACAAUAGAAAAAUAUUUGAUAGGGAUAUAAUUACUGUCUAUUUGUAUAAGAGUAGAUUUAUACCAAACUACAAGCAUUGAUACUUGUAUGGAGAGACGUGGGAGAAAGUUACAAGGAUUAGAAGCGAGCAAGACAGGGACAC
RNAcentral lists this long non-coding RNA (521 nucleotides) under Elaeis guineensis (African oil palm). Its description in RNAcentral is "long non-coding RNA (EGUI_LNC017014)". Lineage: Eukaryota; Viridiplantae; Streptophyta; Magnoliopsida; Arecales; Arecaceae. The record is from RNAcentral.